RNAcentral lists this ribosomal RNA (468 nucleotides) under uncultured bacterium. RNAcentral's name for it is "partial 16S ribosomal RNA". It matches the Rfam family "Bacterial small subunit ribosomal RNA", at positions 28 to 507 of the family's 1533-position model. The record is from RNAcentral.
GACGAACGCUGGCGGCGGGCUUAACACAUGCAAGUCGAACGGAAAUGCCCUUCUGUUGUGGGGUGCUCGAGUGGCGAACGGGUGAGUAACACGUUAUUAACCUGCCCUUGACUUUGGGAUAACUUCAGGAAACUGGGGCUAAUACCUGAUAGGAGCUCCUGCUGCAUGGUGGGUGUUGGAAAGUUUCGGCGGUUGGGGAUGGACUCGCGGCUUAUCAGCUUGUUGGUGGGGUAGUGGCUUACCAAGGCUUUGACGGGUAGCAGGCCUGAGAGGGUGACCGGCCAAAUUGGGACUGAGAUACGGCCCAGACUACUACGGGAGGCAGCAGUGGGGAAUAUUGCACAAUGGGCGGAAGCCUGAUGCAGCAACGCCGCGUGCGGGAUGACGGCCUUCGGGUUGUAAACCGCUUUCGCCUGUGACGAAGCGUGAGUGACGGUAAUGGGUAAAGAAGCACCGGCUAACUACGUG